GAGUUUGAUCGUGGCUCAGAACGAACGCUGGCGGCGUGGAUAAGACAUGCAAGUCGAACGGGAGAAUUGCUAGCUUGCUAAUAAUUCUCUAGCGGCGCACGGGUGAGUAACACGUGAGUAACCUGCCCCCGAGAGCGGGAUAGCCCUGGGAAACUGGGAUUAAUACCGCAUAGUAUCGAAAGAUUAAAGCAGCAAUGCGCUUGGGGAUGGGCUCGCGGCCUAUUAGUUAGUUGGUGAGGUAACGGCUCACCAAGGCGAUGACGGGUAGCCGGUCUGAGAGGAUGUCCGGCCACACUGGAACUGAGACACGGUCCAGACACCUACGGGUGGCAGCAGUCGAGAAUCAUUCACAAUGGGGGAAACCCUGAUGGUGCGACGCCGCGUGGGGGAAUGAAGGUCUUCGGAUUGUAAACCCCUGUCAUGUGGGAGCAAAUUAAAAAGAUAGUACCACAAGAGGAAGAGACGGCUAACUCUGUGCCAGCAGCAGGCC
Molecule: ribosomal RNA, 490 nt
Filed under: uncultured microorganism
Description: bacterial SSU rRNA
Rfam family: Bacterial small subunit ribosomal RNA
Source: RNAcentral